GCCAGCCGCUCAGGUGUGCCAGCCGCCGCGGUAAUACGUAGGUGGCAAGCGUUAUCCGGAUUUAUUGGGUGUAAAGGGCGUGUAGGCGGGAAUGCAAGUCAGAUGUGAAAACUAUGGGCUCAACUCAUAGCCUGCAUUUGAAACUGUAUUUCUUGAGUGCUGGAGAGGCAAUCGGAAUUCCGUGUGUAGCGGUGAAAUGCGUAGAUAUACGGAGGAACACCAGUGGCGAAGGCGGAUUGCUGGACAGUAACUGACGCUGAGGCGCGAAAGCGUGGGGAGCAAACAGG
This 287-nucleotide ribosomal RNA is filed under the name uncultured bacterium. RNAcentral describes it as "partial 16S ribosomal RNA". It matches the Rfam family "Bacterial small subunit ribosomal RNA", at positions 486 to 776 of the family's 1533-position model. The record is from RNAcentral.